RNAcentral lists this ribosomal RNA (254 nucleotides) under uncultured bacterium. RNAcentral's name for it is "partial 16S ribosomal RNA". It matches the Rfam family "Bacterial small subunit ribosomal RNA", at positions 524 to 776 of the family's 1533-position model. The record is from RNAcentral.
UACGGGGGGGGGCAAGCGUUGUUCGGAAUUACUGGGCGUAAAGGGCGCGUAGGCGGCCUGCUAAGUCGGAUGUGAAAUCCCUCGGCUCAACCGAGGAACUGCAUCCGAUACUGGCGGGCUUGAAUCCGGGAGAGGGAUGUGGAAUUCCAGGUGUAGCGGUGAAAUGCGUAGAUAUCUGGAGGAACACCGGUGGCGAAGGCGGCAUCCUGGACCGGUAUUGACGCUGAGGCGCGAAGGCCAGGGGAGCAAACGGG